Molecule: ribosomal RNA, 498 nt
Filed under: uncultured Parcubacteria group bacterium
Lineage: Bacteria
Description: bacterial SSU rRNA
Rfam family: Bacterial small subunit ribosomal RNA
Source: RNAcentral
GAUGGAGCGACGCGCGUGAUUGAUGAAGUCCCUUUGGGACGUAAAGAUCUUUAUGAGGGAAGAAGUUUAUUGACUGUACCUCAUGAAUAAGAGGCUCCUAAUCUCGUGCCAGCAGGAGCGGUAAUACGAGAGCCUCGAGCGUUAUCCGGAAUUAUUGGGCGUAAAGGGUGUGUAGGUUGUUCUGUUAGUCUUUUGUCAAAGACCCGAGCUUAACUUGGGAAGGGCGAAGGAUACGGCAGAACUGGAAAGUGCGAGAGGCGUACGGAACUCAUGGUGUAGGGGUGAAAUCCGUUGAUAUCAUGGGGAACACCAAAAGCGAAAGCAGUACGCUAGCGCAUAUUUGACACUGAAACACGAAAGCGUGGGUAGCGAAUGGGAUUAGAUACCCCAGUAGUCCACGCCCUAAACGAUGAUCUCUCGCUAUUCGGAGUAUCGACCCUCUGAGUGGCUUAGCUAACGCGUUAAGAGAUUCGCCUGGGAAGUACGGCCGCAAGGCUA